Molecule: ribosomal RNA, 369 nt
Filed under: Triticum aestivum (bread wheat)
Lineage: Eukaryota; Viridiplantae; Streptophyta; Magnoliopsida; Poales; Poaceae
Description: partial small subunit ribosomal RNA
Source: RNAcentral
AUGACGAGAUUCACCGUCAGACUACAGUCGCAUCGAGUAGGGCACCGGACGGGCGACGUGCCAUCUGGGCACUUAUAUGGAGGUGCCCUGUUCCACCAAAGAUUUCUAAUUAGCUAUGCUGAAUCUCUUCGAUGCAUCAAUCAUUUUCCAACCACUGACAUCAUCAAAGGGAAGAUGGUGCCGCCGCCAAUUGGGUAUAGUUCUACAAUGAUAAAUACAGCAAUGCAACAUGCAGCCACAGUCCAGUGGUCUGCCCCGCCGGCCGGUCGCGUGAAGCUCAAUGUUGACGGGUCGUUCGUUCAUACCGAUGGUGGAUUAGCAGGAGCUGACCGCUCCAGGCUGAGCUGUUGGCAUGUCAGGAGGGAUUAA